AUACGGAGGAUGCGAGCGUUAUCCGGAUUCAUUGGGUUUAAAGGGUGCGUAGGCGGUUUUUUAAGUCAGUGGUGAAAUCCUGCGGCUCAACCGUAGAACUGCCAUUGAAACUGAAAAACUUGAAUAUAAUUGAGGUAGGCGGAAUGAGUAGUGUAGCGGUGAAAUGCUUAGAUAUUACUCAGAACACCAAUUGCGAAGGCAGCUUACCAAGCUAUAAUUGACGCUGAGGCACGAAAGCGUGGGGAUC
Molecule: ribosomal RNA, 247 nt
Filed under: uncultured bacterium
Lineage: Bacteria
Description: partial 16S ribosomal RNA
Rfam family: Bacterial small subunit ribosomal RNA
Source: RNAcentral